CACAAAAAAAGGUCACCUCUUCCCCCAGUUUACUAUUUUUGUUUUGGAAGUCCCCAAUAUUUCACAACCUAGAUCUAACCGUCUAAUUUGUUUUGGAAUUCCCCUCUCUUUCUCUCUUCUGUGUUAUUGAAUCAAGAAAAUGGCGACAGCUCGUGAAGAGAACGUGUACAUGGCGAAGCUGGCCGAGCAGGCCGAGCGCUACGAGGAGAUGGUGGAGUUCAUGGAGAAGGUCACGGCCGCCGCGGUGGAGAACGAGGAGCUGUCCGUGGAGGAGCGUAACCUUCUCUCGGUGGCCUACAAGAACGUGAUCGGGGCGCGUCGAGCCUCCUGGCGCAUAAUCUCCUCCAUCGAGCAGAAGGAGGAGAGUCGCGGCAACGAGGACCACGUGGCCACGAUCCGCGACUACCGAUCCAAGAUCGAGUCGGAGCUCUCCUCCAUCUGUGACGGCAUUCUCAAGCUCCUCGACUCGCGCCUCAUUCCCUCCGCCUCCUCCGGAGACUCCAAGGUCUUCUACCUGAAGAUGAAAGGCGAUUACCACAGGUACUUGGCAGAGUUCAAGACCGGAGCCGACCGCAAGGAAGCCGCCGAGAGCACCCUCACUGCCUACAAAUCCGCUCAGGACAUUGCCAACGCUGAGCUGGCUCCUACGCAUCCAAUCCGGCUUGGGCUUGCUCUGAACUUCUCUGUGUUUCACUAUGAGAUUCUGAAUUCCCCUGAUCGUGCUUGCAAUCUUGCUAAACAGGCUUUUGAUGAAGCAAUUGCCGAGUUGGAUACCCUGGGUGAGGAGUCAUACAAGGAUAGCACUUUGAUCAUGCAACUUCUCCGUGACAACCUCACUCUUUGGAGCUCUGACAUGCAGGAUGAUGGGGCAGAUGAGAUCAAAGAAGCAGCACCCAAGCGGGAUGAAGAACAGCAGGCAGCUCAUUGAACUAUUUGUCAAGACUUCAACUUCUCCUCUAUGCCUUUUAACUGGAGAAGAUCAGAAGGUGCAUUGAUACGUUUGUUGGAUGUUUGAUGAAUGCUUUCAGAAUACCCACCAUGAGCAUAAUUAAUUGGUUCCCAGAGCAUGAGCUCAUUUUUGCUCUCGCAAUCAAUGCUGUAACCGAUUUUCCUUUGAUGGUUUUCUCCACACUACUGCAGUCCACUCUUUGGCUUUCCUUACGUUUGGCUGAGUUAGACUAGUUCAGUUUACGUUGUGUAGGCUUUGAUUUGCGUUUUAAUCGAAAAUAAUUACGAUAACCUGUUUGAAGCUUGUGAAUUUUGUUGACUCAUUAUGAGUUGUCUGCGUGUGAUGAGGCAUAACAUAAACCAUCAUUGACAUGUGGUCAAUUACUUUUUCUAAAGGGGCACGAGGUUGAAGCAUUGCUGUAUGACUUUAUUUUUUUAAUUUUUAUUGCGGACAGUUGGAAUA
This is an RNA transcript of Juglans microcarpa x Juglans regia, 1411 nucleotides long. It is a transcript of the gene named 14-3-3-like protein, with no coding region annotated. The transcript has 5 exons. Lineage: Eukaryota; Viridiplantae; Streptophyta; Magnoliopsida; Fagales; Juglandaceae. The record is from RefSeq and is a predicted model, not a curated record.